RNAcentral lists this long non-coding RNA (1027 nucleotides) under Monodelphis domestica (gray short-tailed opossum). RNAcentral describes it as "lncRNA (ENSMODG00000046921.1)". Lineage: Eukaryota; Metazoa; Chordata; Mammalia; Didelphimorphia; Didelphidae. The record is from RNAcentral.
GGUGCUCUGAAUCACAGCCUCUCCAGGCCCCACAGGACCAGUACCCCAGAGCCCAGCUGAGCACGUGCCCCAGGGAUGGCUUCCAGUUGAAUUUCAUUAUCAACUGAUUAUAGACAAUGAAGACUCAGGUCUCUCUCUGGCAUAGAUUGAAUAGCUCCAUAUAAUUCUAGCUGACUAUAAGAAGAGAAGUGGUGGUGAUGAGGGACGGGUGGAGUAAAGAACAGAGAAGGGGAACUUGAGGGGAGAUAGAGACUCCCAGAAGCAGGCUCAGGGCUGAUCUUAGACGCUAUAACAUAGUAAAGUAGAAAGAGUAGUGAAUCGGGAACAUCAAGUCUUGACUUUGCCACUGACUCAUUAUGUGACCUAUUUCUCUGUCAAGUUUCUGUCUCUGUUUCUGUCUCUGUCUCUGUCUCUCUCUCUCUCUUUCUCUGUUUCUCUCCUCUCCCUCUCUUUUUCUUUCUCUGUCUGUCUCCCUCUCUCUUUGCCUGGUUUCUCUCCUCUCUCUCUCUUUCUCUCUAUCUCUGUUACUCUCCUCUCCCUCUCUGUCUCCCUCUCUUUCUUUCUGUCUGUCUCCUCUCCCUCCCUCUCCUCUUCCUCUGUCUGUCUCUCUCUCUAUCUCUGAUAUUCUCCUCUCCCUCUCUCCCUCUCUGUCUCCCUCUUUCUCUGUCUCUUUCUCCUCUCCCUCCCUCUCUUCUUCCUCUGUCUCCCUCUUUUUCUGUCUGUCUCCUUUCUCUCCAUCUGUUUCUCUCCUCUCCCUCUCUCCCUGUCUCUCUCUGUCUGUCUCUCUUUCUAUCUCUGUUACUCUCCUCUCCCUCUCUUUCUCUCUGUCUCUGUCUCUUUCUCUUUCUCUCUCCUCUCCCUACCUCUCCUCUUCCUUUGUCUCUGUGUCUCCUUUCUCUCCUCUCCCUCUGGGUCUUUUUGUUUCUCUUUGUUCUCUCUCUCUGUUUCUCUCUGUGUCUCUCUCUGGCCCUCCCUCCCUGUUUCUCUCUUUCUCAGUUUCCUCAUCCUUAAAAUGCAUGGGAUUGGU